AUAUAUAUAUAUAUAUAUAUAUAUAUAGAGAGAGAGAGAGAGAGAGAGAGAGCUAGGCUGGUAUACUAUCGGUAGUACGGAGGCCUCCGUGCUACCAAGUUGUUUUCAAUGAUGCGGCUUCCAAAUCGACGAUCAGCUCCGUUAGACAUGAUCUACACUAUUAAAAGUAUUAGGAAACUAAAUUGCAUAAUUUUUUGGCAUCAUUUACCUAUCAAAAGAGUAGUCUAAAAAUGAACGGCUAAAAAUAAAAAUCUCAUAAAAAAUGAUGAUAAAAAACUUGAAUUUAAGAUCAAAGGUACUGAUCUUACUCUAAAUAGUGAAAAGAAUUUUCUAUAAAAAUUUCAUCAAAUUUGGAUUAUUUUACACCUUUAAAUUCACAAACGCAUCACAUCUACCAUUAAAAUUGUCAAUUUUGAGACCUUUUGAUCACUAGCCAAAUUAUGUCGAAAAAUUAUGAAAUUUAGUUUCCAAAUACUUUUAAUAGUGUAGAUCAAGUCUAACGGAGCCGAUCGUAGAUUUGGAAGCCGCAUCAUUGAAAACAACUUGGUAGCACGGAGGCCUCCGUGCUACCAAUAGUAUACCAGCCUAGCUCUAUAUAUAUAUAUAUAUAUAUAUAUAUAUAUAUAUAUAUAAUUUGGCCGGAAUGCUUCUAAUAGUGUAACAUACCGAACUUCUAUAGUUAUGAAGUUACGAUGUAUGUUAGCUUGGAAAGCCAUUCGAAUGGUUUCGGUGAAGUUCGGGAGCAUUUGGGUGUUUUCGGUGCGCGUCGGGCGCAAAAACGAAACCCGAAAAGCUAUGAUUGGACCUUGGCAGAAAUCCGGCAAGGCGUGGAUGAAAAGAUGGUUUGAAAGCGCUCGAAAACAUAUUUUGGGAGUCUCGGUGCGAUUUGAGGCGAAUCGGAGACCCAUGGAGCAAAAACAAACGAAAACGGACCAAAAUUGGCGAAAAGGCUGAAAUUUUGGCUAAGUCUGGAAGUGCAGAAUUUUUGGACCUACGGGGUCCGGUCCCUGAAGCCAAGGACCGGUCCCCGAAGCCCGAAAAUGCCCAAAAUGAGCAGGGCACUAUGGUAUUUUGUGGGGGGCUUGCAUUGUUGAGGGGGCUUUUGGCAUUUUAUGCAAAUGGGGGUUAAAAGGGAGGUGGAGAGAGCUCAUUCCUCUCUCUCUCUCACACUUGCAACCCAAAAUAUUUCCCUCUCUCUCUCUCUAAGCUCUCUCAUUCUCUCUCUCUUGAAAGAGGAAGACAAGAAGGGGAUUUGGAGGAGAUUAAAGCUUGGAGGAGAAGCUUCAUCUUCUUCAUCUUCUUCAUCUUCUUCCUCUCCAUUGGAGCUAACUUGAGAGGUAAGCUUGUAGAGUUUUAAUAGUAGAUCUCUAGGCCUUUGUUUGUAUGCUCUAGAAUUGAUUUGGAUGGAACCUUUAGAUGCUAAAUGGAUACUUAUUGCUUGAAUCAGGUGGUGGAAUGGGUUUCUUGCAAUAGUAGCAAACCUAGGGUUCCAAAUGGAGUUUUACUAAAUGAUGGGGUUUGAUCUAAAUUAACCCUAUGUAAACCUAAUUGCUAGAUAUUUUAACGCGUUGGCGAAGUCGGCUCGGCGGUUCAUCGAGCCUACGCGAAGAAGUCGAAGAAAAGGCCUGUUUUGGUACAGAUUGCCGCAGUACGCGGCAUAGGCUUCCAAAAAUCACGAAAUCGGAUUCGUGGACUCGUGGCAUCACCUAAAGGUGGGGGGUGUCAUCCCGAAGCAAUUGGGCUUCCUUCUAUGUCCGAGUUAGAUUGUUGAUCAUGUUCACGCAAGUUUCUUAUGCAUUAUAGGAUAUAUGUUAUAAUUGCAUUCUAUUUCCUUGCAUGCUUGCUUAGUAGUGUAACAUCGUGGGCUUGACACAUGAAUCUAGGGGGCAUGAGGAUUUGGUCGUGUGCCAUGAGAUCCUAUAGUGAAAAGAAUAUGGUGAACUUGGACAUGAUGAUGAAAACCAAGGACAUGUGAACUAGUGUAGUGGAAACACUUAUUACUUGGACGAGUGCCAUGUAAACUAGUGUGGUUGAGACACACACUACUUAAUGAUGUAAACGAGUGGCAUUAAACCUAAUGUAUAAACUUAGGUUGAGAAUUGAACCUAGAGUCGAAUAAACCUAGGUUAAGAGAUGAGUGACAUUGAACCUAGAGUCAAGUGGACCUAGGAGGAAAAUGACAUUGGAUCUAGUGUUGCAGAACCUAGGUUAUGAGCAUAAUAACACUGAACCUAAAGUAUUAAACUUAGGUUGAGUAAUGGUGAAUUUAGGGAUAGAUGGAUUUCCCUAACUAUGAUACAUUACAUGAGAAUUUAGUGUAGUUGAGACACUGGCAUUGAACAUAGGGAUAGGUGGAUUCCCGAGUGUCAGUUAACCCUAGUUGACAGGGUAUCCUCAGUGAGCGAGGAUUGGAUCAUACUCACAUAGUCUGUUUUGACCUUGGGGUGGUCGCUCUAUACAAGCAGUGCACUCCGGAGUUGUCACACGAGCAGGGUAGCUCACCAGGUGGGACACGAGCGGGGUAGCUCCUCACCUAUUGGACUGGGACGUGAGUUGGGGCGAAGGGCGGAGUAGCCCUUCACCUAUGAGAUUUGAGAUUGGAGUUAGGGCGAAGAGCGGGGUAGCUCUUCACCUAUGGCCUUCGAGUUGUGAGUCGGGUGAAGAGCAGGGUAGCUCUUUACCUUUGAGAUUUGAGAUCUGAGUCGUGGCAUAACCUUCGGGUUAGCCAAGCGGAUUGGGUAAUGAACUCAUGAUUGAUAUGCAUCCUGAGCAUAGUAGGCAUUGCAUUAUACUUGAUGUAGAGACACAGCAUCAUGUGAGUAGAGUACUUAAGAUGUUCAUUCAUUACUUUGUAUAUUGAGGCAUAGUAGCAUACUUGUAUAUUUCAUUACCAUGCAGCAGUUAUUUCCAGAUAUCUAUCUAUCUGCUUAUGCCUGCUUAGACCUAGUGGGAAGAUCGGCGGAGUCGGCGGCCGAACCCACUGGGAACUAUAUUUAUAUAGUUCUCACCCCACUUUGUUGCAGGGCCGAGNUGUUCAUUCAUUACUUUGUAUAUUGAGGCAUAGUAGCAUACUUGUAUAUUUCAUUACCAUGCAGCAGUUAUUUCCAGAUAUCUAUCUAUCUGCUUAUGCCUGCUUAGACCUAGUGGGAAGAUCGGCGGAGUCGGCGGCCGAACCCACUGGGAACUAUAUUUAUAUAGUUCUCACCCCACUUUGUUGCAGGGCCGAGUUCGAGCGUUCCGAGGGAGGAUCGCGGUAAGGGCAUAGCACCCUAGUUAGUUAGUAGUGGCUUUCCUUUUGUACUAGAGUACCCUCGUGUACUUAGGCUAUACAGAUGUAUUUUGGAGAGUACUUAUGCAUGUGAGAUGGAUAUGUAUCUAAAUGUUGAGAUGAACAUGUACUCAUUUUGGUGAGAUGAAAAUGUAAAUCACAUGUAUAAAUGGUUUAAUGUGAUGUAAUAGAUAGAAUUCUCUCUUUGUUCACUUGUAUGUAUACUCGUGUCUUGCUCUUUCUUGUUUGGCGCUUGUGACGCUUGUGGCGCUUCUUGGUUGAUCAAGUAUGUGUUUGAGUUCUUCCUGGGUGAAUUCUUGUACAUGAUCUCGUUGCUUAGCCUUGGGCGAACAGGGGAGGUGCUGUCCGUUCGGCGUCUGUUCGACGAGUUCGAACCGACCAAAUUGGCGGUCGCGGGCUGUACAAAUAGCACCAAGAUUUUCAGCCCUAGGAUGAAGGGAUGUGCGGUUAGGAUGAUAGUGGUCCCCUUGUGUUUUUUGGCACUCUCUGAUAAGCAUAAAGGUUUUCGUUGCCUCCAUCCAAGCACUGAUAAAGUUUUCAAUUCUAGACAUGUUUCUUACGUUGAAACUAUCUUUCAAAAUUUUCUACCUCUUCUAUACCUGUCUCUACCAUUUUAAUUUUUCAAAUGUUUCAAAAUUUUCUUUCUAAUCCUCCUUCACUGGGUGAGAAUCCUUCUACCAUUGAUGCUAUCUCUAGCUUCUAUUUCACAUGUCUUUCUACUGGUGCUGCUGCUUUUAAUACUUCUUCUAUAAGUGUACGUCCUCAGCCUGUUUCAUUAUCUGAGUCAUUAUUUCAAUUUCCUACCACCUUGAAUCAUGAUACCACAUAGGUUAGAGAUGAGAAUGAUGCUGCUACUGCUGGUCAGCCAAAACUCCGAAUCUAUACCAGACGGAACACCUUCAGGACUAUUGCAACCAUUCCCCCUACUGAUACGGAACCUCCAUUAUCUGACCUUCUACUUUCCACUCAACCUGAUACAGUCCAAUCAAUAGCAUCCUCCUCUUUACUUACUUUACCUAUUGAACCCUUUUUAACUUUCUGUACACAUUUAGACAUUCUAUAAUCACUCGAUCCAUAACAAAUGGUUUGCCUGAGUUUACCACCUUCCUGGCUUCUAAGUAUUCUAUUCUUCCUAUAGAGGCUAACUCCUUUACUGAGGUUUUUCAAGAUGAAAGUUAUUGUACAACCAUGGCUAAAGAAAAUAAUGCCUUAUUAGCUAAUUCUACGUGGGACUUAUUCCUCCUCCAUCAUCCAUCAAUCUCAUUCACUGUAAGUGGGUGUACAAAGUCAAGCAGAAAGCAGAUGGUUUCUUGAGCAUCUCAAAGCUCGUUUGUGGCUCAGGGCUACAAACAGCAACAUAGUAUUGACUUUGAUGGGGCUUUUUCUCCAAUGAUACUAUUCGUACUGAUCUUUUUGUUGCAUUCCCGUCUUGGUGCGGCAACUUGACGUGAAAAACACAUUUCUUCGUGGCACUCUUUGAGGAUGUUUAUAUGAAACAACCACCUGGCUUUGUAUAUCCUUCUCUUCCUCAUCAUAUUUACCGUCUACGCAAACGAUCUAUGGACACAAGCAGGCACCUCGGGCUUGGUUUUAGCUAUUUACUUUGUUUCUUUCUAAAAUUGGUUUUAUUGGAAGCACUGUUGAUCCCUCAAUUGUCAUUCCUCUUCUAACACUCGUCCUUUUCUUAUACGUCGAUGAUAUUAUUGUCACUGAAAGCUCCUACUCUCUUUUAGAGGCUCUUAUAGGAACCUUACAAUAGGAAUUUUUGAUGAAGGAUUUAGGGCCGCUAAAUUAUUUUUUGGGUAUUGAGGUUAAUCGUUCACUCUUUGGUCUUUAUUUGACUCAACAAAAAUAUGCGCCUCAACCAAGGUUUAAAGUACCGUGGCACGGGGGCGUGCCGCUGUCUGCCUGGCACCGUACGGCACCAGCACGCUUCCGUGCUGACACAUGAUACGUUUGCGUGCCAAUAUAUACGCUUGACCUCCUACUGGCACGUUUUGGCACGUACUUAUUUCAAUUUUUUUUAUUCCAAUAAGCUCUUAUAAUAUUAUUUUGAAAGAUGUUAUCAAAUAAUUAUGAAUAUUUGCUAUGUAUAACUUACUAUACUCAUCAAUUAACAUACUUGUAAGUUUUUUGUAUGUAAAGUACAAUUAUACCUGAUGCAGAAUAAAAAUUUUUACAGGUCAUAAUUUUUAAAAUGCAAAGACAUCUUUUUUAAUUUUUUUCUUUUUACCAUAUUACAGUCUUUCUUUUAUAAAAUACAAAAAAAUAAUUUAAAAAACUAUUUGAAAAAAUUAUUUUUUUAAUUAACUUUUCAAAAAAUUAGUAGACCUAUCAAAAAAAUUAAGCAAUAAAUUAUAUGACAAAUAAAUUAAAUAAAUUUAAGCAUCAAUUAAUUUAAUUUAGCUUUUAAUUUUUUCAGUAUUUUCAUCUUCUAGCGCAAAAAUAAAAUUUUAUGUUUGAUGUGGCUCAAAAUUUGUUUCUUAAGUUCAAUUUUGUUCUCUUAAUUCGUCAAAAAUUUCGCGAUGUGACAAAUUUUGAUAAAAUAAUUUGUGAAGAAAAAAUAGACAUCUGUGGUGAAAGCGGAGGGCUCGGACAAAUCUUUUGUCUGUAUAUUGAUAAACAAAAAAUUAAAUUAUAUUUUUUUUACUUACCUAAUAAAUAAAUUUUCGAUUUACAAUUUCUUUGGGGAGUGUGGGGUACCCAGAAUGCUUCGGAUACCCCAAAGAACAAAACAAAAAGAAAAAAAACAAAAAGCAAGAAAAAAAGCUAAAAAGAAAAAAAGAAAAAAAAAUCAGUGCCGGCACGGCACACUGCACCGUGCCUGUAAGGUACCGGACUUCCAAAAUUAUGAAGUUACGGUGUACAUUUGGUUGGAAAGCCAUUUGAAUGGUUUCAAUGAAGUUCGGUGAAGUUCGGGAGCAUUCGGGCAUUUCGGUGCACGUAGGUGCGAAAACGGAACACGAAGGGCUAUGUUGGACCAUGGACUAAAUCCGGCAUUAGCGUGGAUGGAAAGAUGAUGAAAUUACGCUCGAAAACAUGUUUUGAGAGUCUCGGUUCGAUUUGAAAAGAAUCGGAGGCCAAACGAGCGAAAACAAGCGAAAACGGAGAAGAAAGCUGAAAAUGCUGAAAUUUGGCUAAGUCUGGAAAUGCAGAAUUUUUGGACCUACGGGGUCCGGUCCCUCAAGCCAAGGACCGGUCCCCGAGAUCCGAAAAUACCCAGUUUGGUGCAGUUUGAAUAGUUGAGGGGGUUUCUUGCAAAUAGGGCAUAUGGGGGCUGUUAGAGAGGGUUGAAGCCUCUCUCUCUCUCACUCCCUCACCAUUUGCAACCCAACAAACACCCUCUCUCUCUCUUAGAAGCUCUCUCUCUCUCUUGGAGUUGAUCAAGAGGAAGGAGAAGAAGGAGAUUAGAGCUUGGAGGUAGAGCACCAUCAUCAUCUUCUUCCCUAGCUUGAAGAUGAUAGCUUUUAGAAGUAAGCUUUUGGAGCCCUCUCAUGGUGAAUGGUUAGGGCUUAGCUUAGACCUCUUGGAACCUAGCUAGUUGGAACUUAAUGAUGCUCUAGAAGUAAUUAAUCUCAUUUAUUGCUUGGGUUAAUGCUUAUAUGAAGCUAAUUGCAAUAGUGAGGUUUUUGGGCUCCAAAAAGAGGGCUUUUGCCAUGAGUAGUUUUGAUCUAAAUUGAUCACUCUCUAACCUAAUUGAUAGGUGUACGAACGCGAUGGCGAAGUCGGUUCGGCGAUUCGUCGAGCCUACGCGAAGUUAUCGGGAAAACAGCUUCAUUUCCGCCUGGAGGGCCGAGGCGAAUUCCUAAAAUCAUGAAAUCUGAUUCGUGGGCUCGUGGCAUCAAGUUAUAGACCUAUAAAUUCCGAGGCCGCGAAGCGACGCACGGUUGGUGAUCAAUCGCAAGAUCAGGCCGAAACGGACGACGAGUGCCACGGGAGGCCGAUUUCAAGUGACGACGAGCAAUCGGAACGCGAUAAAAGGUGGGGGGUGUCCAUCCCGAAGCAACUGAGCUUCUUCCUAUGUCCGAAUUAGAAUUGUUGAUCAUGUUCAUACAUUGUUCUUAUGCAUUAUAGGAUAUAUGUAUAGUAGCAUUUCUACUUCCUUGCAUGCAUGUCUAGUAGUGUAGCAUUGUGGGCUCGACACCUAAACCUAGAAUGCAUGAGGAUUAGGGUUGUGACAUGAGAUCCUAUAGUGAUAAGAAUUGGUGAACUUGAACUUGGUGAUGAAAACCAAUGAUAUGUGAAUUAGUGUAUUGGAAACACUUAUAACUUGGACGAGUGGCAUGUAAACAAUAUUUAUAACAUGACGAGUGGCAUUGGAACUUAGUGUAAUAGAAACACUUAUGGCAUUGAGCAUAAGGAAUAGAUGAGUUUCCUUAGUUGUGGCAUAUUGCAUGAGAAUUAAUGUAAUUGAGACACUAUGGCAUCAAACAUAGGGAUAGUUGAACUCCCUAGUGUGAGUUGAUUAGAGUGGUUGAGACACUUGACAUGGACCUAGGGAUAGGUGGAGUUCCGAGUGUUUGUUAACCCUAGUUGACAGGGUAUCCUCAGUUGGCGAGAAUUGGAUCAUACUCACAUAGUCUGUUUUGGGCUUGUGGUGGUCGCUCCACACAAGCAGUGCACUCCGGAGUUGUCACACGAGUUGAGCGGGGUAGCUCACCGGGUGGGAUACGAGCGGGAUAGCUCCUCACCCAUUGGACUGGGAAGUAAGUCGGGCGAAGGGCGGGGUAGCUCUUUACCUGUGAGAUUUGAGCGGGGUAGCUCUUUAUCUGUGAGAUUGGAGCGGAGUAGCUCUUUACAUUUGAGAUUUGAGAUAUUAGCCGGGGCGAAGAGCGGGGUAGCUCUUCACCUACUAAAACUGGGUGUGGAUACAUAUGAGAUUUGGGAUUUGAGUCGGGGCGAAGGGCGGGGUAGCUCUUCAUUUAGGACAUCUAAGUUGUGAGAUGGCUCUUCACCUAUGUGAUUUGAGAUCUUAGGCGGGUUAGCCUAGUGGAUAGGGUAAUGACAUGAAUUGCAUAAGUGGAUUUGCAUUCACACCAUGAUUAGACAUAGUAUAUGUUAGAGGAUUGCAUAACUAUGUUAUAUUUGUAUUCAUUACAUCGUUGAAGCAUACUAGUAUGAUGGUAGGCUUGUUGCUAGAUGAUAUUCCAUGCAUUGCUUGCAUUUGAUGGCAUAGUAGAGCAUAGUUGCAGUUUCAUUUCUAUCUAUCUAUCUAUCUAUCUAUCUGUGCCAGCUUAGACCUAGUGGGAAGAUCGGCGGAGUCGGCGGCCGAACCCACUGGGAACUAUAUUUAUAUAGUUCUCACCCCACUUUGUUGCAGGGCCGAGUGCGAGCAUCCCGGGGGAGGAUCGCGGUAAGGGCAUAGCGCCCUAGCUAGCUAGUAGAGUUUCUUAUUUGUACUAGAGCACCCUCGUGUACAUGUUUAUAGACAUGAUGUAUUUUGGAUAGUGCUUAUGUAUAUGAGAGGAUGAACAUGUAUUCAUUUUGGUGAGAUGAAAAUGUAAUUAAAAGAUGCAAAUGAGGAAUUGUGAUGUAAUAGUUAGAAUAUCUCUCUUUUUGUUUACUUACUGUGUUACUUACUUGCUCUUGUGUAUACUUGUGAAAGUACUCGCUUGCUAGAUCAUGUAUGUUGUUAAGUUUUUCCUGGGCAACUUAUUGUGCAUGAUCUUAUUUGUUUGAGCCUUGGGCGGACAGGGGAGGUGCUGUCCGUCCGGCGUCUGUUCGACGCGCCCGAACCGGCCAAAUUGGCAGGGCUCGGGGUGUGACAGUGCCGCUCUCUCUCGUGGGGCACGGCGCCGCGUGCAACGGCACGUUGGGGGGUCUGAUACCCCCUUGAAUCGUAUCACCUUCUUGGUGGCACGAUACGUUCCACCCUGUGCCGUACGGCACGGGACGACACUUUAAACCUUGGCCUCAACUGCUUGAGCAUCAUGGCUUUCUUGAUAGUAAGCCUUUUCUACUGUACUCCACUCUCUGCGAGCGCUCGUCUCUCAUCUCACGAGGGACGUCCCUUUGAGGAUCCCUACACUUAUCGUCAGAUGGUUGGCAAUACCUUACAUUCACACGGCCAGAAUCUCAUAUGCGGUCAAUUCUGUUACUCAGUAUCUACAUGCAUCUUGUGAGCCACACAUGCAAGUAGUUAUGUAUUCUCCGUUAUAUUCGAGGGGCGCUGUCUUAUGGCAUUCCUAUCUCCCGCAGCGCCAAUCCUUCACUUAUGGCUUUUUUAAAUGCUGAUUGGGCUAGGUGUCUAGACACGCUGGUCUACUUCAGGGUAUUGCAUUUUUUUUGGGCCUAAUCUCAUCUCAUGUUCGGCUAAGAAGCAACCUACUAUUUCUCGCUCUAGCUCUGAAGCGGAGUAUCGCUUUGUGACCUACACACUUGCCGAGAGUUUGGGAUCAGUCGUCGGCUCUAUGAUCUCGGUGUCUUCUUAUGGCGCACUAUUUGCAUCUAUUGUGAUAAUCUUAGCACCACACAUCUUGCUACCAAUCCUGUUCUACAAGCUCAAAUGAAGGACAUUGAACUUGACAAUCAAUUUUUACAGGAAAAAUUCCAAUCCGUGACUUGGAGUAAGUCCACAUCUUUCCUGAUAAGCAACUUGCUGACAUCUUUACCAAACCCUUGUCCCUUUCUCGGUUCUUCACGUUGCGGAUCAAUCUUCACAUCCGUCUAAUGGAUGCUUAGAUGUUAUGAUAUAUUUAGUAUGAUUACAAUAUGUCUAGUAUGAUAGGAUAUAUUAUAUAUUACUGCCAUAUAUAGUAUAGGUUUAUAUAUUUUCAUCAAUGCAACCUUAGAAGGGUAAGCUCCUUAGUCUGUCUUUCACACAUGACCAUAGUCUGCAUUGGGCCGAAUUGAGCACGAUUGCGAGCGGUUUGAUAUUAUGAUACUCAGUGGGAUCAUGCCCCUCAAGUGCCCCUCCGGAGCUAUGGCGGCUGACUAGAUAUAGGUAUACAUGUGCAAGUUGAGCCACCAAGUCAGUGUGGUUACCAGGCAUGCGGCGACGCAGGCUUAGCGGGACCUGUGAGCCGAACGGUGAGAUUGGGUCUUAUGACUUUGCUUAUCAGGUCUUUUGUUGAUGCAUAUUAUAUUUGAUCUCUAUUCUUCGAGAUUUUAUAGUAGGAAACUAAUUAUUAUUUGUUUGUUUCCACAGACACAGAUAGAGGCAUGUUAGUAUUUAUUUUCCUGCUCAUAUUAUGCUAAGCUGCUCGUUUAUUUAUUGUUCAUUUACUAUUCUUGCCUCUGAUAGAUUUAGUGGUGUAGGUCGUCGUUGUCGUCAACUGUACCCACUGAAAACUAUUGACUAUAGUUCUCACGUCCUCCUUUGUUGUUCCUUUUUUAGAGCAUUCGGCACUAGUUAUAGCAGCGGAUCGAGGUAAGGAGACAGCGAGCUAGAUAGUAUCGCCUACCCUGUUGUGCGAUAGCUAGAAAAGGACCCUAUAGAUCCAGUUUUAGGAUGUCGUUCAAUUCUGAUCGUUCAUUUUAUACCCACUUGACGGACUUUAUUAUAAUUUUGAAAAAUUAUGAAGUUUAUUUUCUAAAAGUUUUAAAUGAUCUAGAUCAUAUUUAACGAUAUAGAUCGUCGAUUUGGAAGCUCCAUCAUUGAAAACAACUUAUGAUUACAAAGAGCUCUAUACCUAUAAGGGUGCGUUUGGUUCGAGUUAUCCUGGUAGGAUUACAGGCAAUCCUGCCAGGAUUACUGUAUUUGGUUCAUCCGCUAUGUAAUCCAGUCGUUAAUAUAGCAUUACAAAUCGAGCAGGAUUACGCAGAAAAUAUUAACGAGAAGGGAGUCGUGUAUCUUGCAUUACUGAAAACCGGUAAUACUACAUAUUAUGUAAAAUAAAAAUUUUACCCUCUAACUCUCGAAACCCUUUCAAUACAUUAUUUUAAAAAUUUUAAUUUAAAAUUUUGAAUUGUCAACUUUUAAUUUUUAAUUUUUAAAUUUGAAUUUUUAAAUUUAAAAUUUAAAAUUUUUAAACUUCAAAUUUAAAUUUUAAAUUUUAAAUUUAAAUUAAAAUUUUAGAUUUUAAAUUAUAAGUUUAAAAUUUUAAAUUUUAAAUUUUAAGUUUAAAUUAAAAGUUUAGAUUUUAAAUUAUAAGUUUGAAAUUUCAAAUUUUAAAUUUCAAAUUUCAAAUUUCAAAUUUUAAAACACAAAUUUGUAUUUUAAAUUCUGAAUUUUAAUGUUUGUUAUUUGUAUAUAUAUUUAUAUUUAAAUUUGAUUUAAAUUAGGAACUUUAUUAUUGUGUAUGAAAUAUUUAAAGUUUUAUUGUUUGUAAAAAUUUAGAAUUAAUUUGAAAAUUUAAAUUUAUAAAAUUUAAAUUACAUUUAAAGAAAAAUUUUGGUUCCUAAAAUAUAAUUGUCGUACGUAUAAAAUUUUUGACAAAUAUAGAGACUAAGGGGCAAUUUUGGAAUAGAUUAUAUUUAAUAGUCUAAUUAGUAAAUUUAUAGAGCAAGAGCCAAAAUGUAUCGCUAUAAACGCUAUGCACUCCGCAAUAACAUUAUUGUAUACACAAACGCACUAAUACAGACGAGUAGUAUUCAUUUGAAUCCAAGAUCUGGUAUAUUGAAACUUCUGUAUAUUACUUAACUCGAAAACGCGCGCACUGAAGAGUGUUAGUAGUCCUUAAUUAUUAUUUAUAAUAUAUAUUAGUAUACAUAAUUAAAUAUUAUACUUUAUAUAUAGUAUAGGGGAGAGAGAGAGAGAGAGUUGUGUUAGAUUACUGUAAUAUAUUUGCCCCUUUUUGCUAUCAAUUUUACUUUGAUCAAUUCUUUGAAUCGUUUCUAACAUGUGAUUAAUAUAGAUGAUCCAUUUGGGAGCGCCACUCACCCUACGGACUUAAUGAUCGUAACCUACAAUUUCGCACCCCCGGUUAAAAAAGUUGAGUAGAAAAAGGGGACGAUUAUAUCACAACUUUCAACCCAACUCUCUCCCUCCCUUCUCAUUCUCUCAUCUCGAUCUCUCUCUUUAUAUAUAUAUGAUGUUAUAGUCCAGCUACUAUAUUCUACAUAAGUUACGGAUCGCCUUCGUACUAAGUGAAGUGUUUUCCAAUGAUAGGAGCUUCCAAAUCGUGAUCAACUUUAUCUGAGAUUUUUAAAAUUUUUUAAAAUCAAAUUUUAUAAUUUUUUGAUAUCAUUUACCUUAUGAUAAAAAUAUUAAAAUUUGUAUAUUUAUUACAUCGUAUAGUAAUACUUGCUAGAAUUUUAACGGUAUGUAAGAGAGAGUCACUCGGGUUGAAUUUUUCUGAUAGAAAAUUCUUUCACUAUCUUAGAUAAGUUCAAAUUAAUCCCGAUCAUAGAUUAAUAUCAUCGGUAUCAUUUUUUAACAACGUCUUGAUUUUGAACUAUGAUUUUUAUGCGCUUAAUGGACUUUAUUUGAAUUCAAAAAUUUACGAGAAUUCAAAAUUCUAGAAGUUUUUAAGAUACUACUAGAUACAUUUUGAUUGAUGUGGCUGUCGAUCGGAAGACAUCAUUAAAAAACAACUGUAUGAAUACAGAGGCUCUACGACUUACAAGGUAUAGUAAGCCCUACUCUAUUAUAUAUUAUAUACAUAUUCGAUAUAAUAUGAUAUAUAUAAUAUUAUAUAUAUAGGAUUAUGAUAAAUAUAUAGAAUCACCCUGCUAUCAUUUUAGGAGGAUAUGGGAAAUUCUCUAUCAAUUGUUUUAGGUGAUAGAGAUACCCGAGAUCAAUGGAUCGUAAAAACGUUGAAGUUAAUUAGAAGUAUUUGACAUUAUUAAGAAUACUUUUAUAAUUUUAAAUUUUUACAUAGUAUCAAAGGAAUUGAAAAAUUGAUGAGUUAUUUGACGGCUAUAUGAAGCCGUUUUCUUGUUUACGGUCCUGUAAGAUUAAUCCAAACUGUGCAUUUUUGACCUAGAAAUUUUUACUAUUUUAGAUUAAGUUCUAGAAUAACUUCGAUCGUAUGUGAAAUAGUCUAACCUAUGUUUUGCGAAGGUCAGUGGUUUCUGGACCGUAUUUUGUUUUUUUUAUUUUUAAUUUAUAUAUUUUCUUAUUCUUCUAUGUGACAUGAUAAUGAUUUUUAAACUUACCAAAUCCGGUUUCUAAUUAUUUCUAUAGCUGUUAGAUCAUAUCAACGUGACCGAUUAUCACAUUUAAAGUCAUCGAGUCAUCUAAAUUGACUUAAUCGGACAAAGGUUAUCAUUUGCAGGAUAGUAGCCCAGGGUUACAUUUUACUUAUCUAUAUUCCUGAAUAUAUUUAUAUAUGAGGAGAUGAUGAGAGAUCUGGAAGAGAGAGGAGAGGAGAGUGAUACGUGCUCCCGUGCGUUAUGAAUCCGGACCUUCAGAAUUGUAUAUUGUUUUCGAUGAUAGGACAUCCAAUUCGACGAUCUGCUCCGUUUAGGCUAAUUAUAACUAUUGAACGUACUAGAAAAAAUUUUAUAAUUCUUUCGACGGAUCAUUUAUCCAAGCGGUACAGGAGUUUUCAAAUGACUAUUGUAAGGCGCCAUGUGGUACGUUUUUAAGUUCAAGCGCUGCUGAAGUAUCCAAAUUCUGAACACUUUAAGUAGGAAAAUUCUCUUACUCAGGCAAAGUAACAUACUUUACUGAUUGGAAUGGUGGUCAUUUAUCAUUGUUUUUUGAUGAGAUUGUUUUUUUCCAGCCGUUCAUUUGAGGCUUAAUCGUCAAUAGGGCAAAUCGAAGUCAAACAAAUUUAUGAAAUUUGGUUUCUAGAAUAGUUCCAAAGCGUUAAUAUGUUUACACGGAAGCGUCGCCGAAUCGACGUUUAUUAAGAAAACAAUCUUAUCAAUGAACGGAGGCCUUCUCAUACUUUCAGAAAGCAUAGGAGCCUAGCUGCAAAAUUUAUAUAUAAUUAUGAUAUAUAUUAUUAUAUUAGGAGGGGAGGGAGAGAGGCUAGGUGUAUACUAUCGCUAAGGCACGAAAGGCUACCCGUAGUCGUUGUUUUCAUGAUUUGUAGCUUCAAAUGACAAUCACGGCUCGUAGACUUGAUUACACUAUUAAAAAUAUUUGGAAACUAAAUUCAUAAAUUCUUUGUUGACUCAUUACUAUACACCGACGGGUUAUCAAAAAUGCUAUUUUAACGGCCAGUGGUACGUUUUAAGUUCAACGGUGUAGAAGUAUCCAAAUUACAUGAAACUGUUAAUAGAAAAUUCUACUAACAUCAAGAGCAAGAACAAUACUUGCUGAUUGAAAUUUGAGUCAUUUAAUCAUUGUUUUUGAUGAGAUUUUUAUUUUCAGCCGUUCAUUUUGAGGCUACUCGUUCACUAGGCAAACGAAGUCAAAAAAUUAAUGAAAUUUGGUUUCUAGAUAGUUCAAUAGGCGUAGAUCAUGUUUAACGCGAACCGAUCGCCAAUCGGACGUCCUAUCAUUGAAAACAAACUUACAAGCACGGAGGCUCCGUACUUUCGAAAGCAUAGGAGCCUAGCUCUAUAUAUAUAUUAUAUAUAUAAUAUAUAUAUAUAAAGAGAGAGAGAGACGAGAGAGAGAGAGCUAGGCUGCCGUAUACUAUCGUAGCACGAGGUCCUCCGUGCUACAGUUGUUUUCAAUGAUGUAGCUUCAAAUCGACAAUCGGCUCCGUUAGACUUGAUCUACACUAUUAAAAUAUUGGAAACUAAAUUUCAUAAUUUUUUCGACAUCAUUUACCUAUCAAACGAGUAGUCUAAAAAUGAAUGGCUGAAAAUAAAAUCUCAUAAAAAAUGAUGAUAAAAGACUUGAACUUAAGAUUAGAGGUACUGAUCUUACUCUAAAUAGUGAAAAGAAUUUUCAAUAAAAAUUUCAUUAGAUUUGGAUUGUUUUACACCGUUAAAUUCACAAACGCAUCACAUCGACCAUUAAAAUUGUCAAUUUUGAGACCUUUUGAUCACUAGCCAAAUGANUCACAAACGCAUCACAUCGACCAUUAAAAUUGUCAAUUUUGAGACCUUUUGAUCACUAGCCAAAUGAUGUCGAAAAAU
RNAcentral lists this long non-coding RNA (15208 nucleotides) under Ananas comosus (pineapple). RNAcentral's name for it is "long non-coding RNA (ACOM_LNC031486)". The record is from RNAcentral. Lineage: Eukaryota; Viridiplantae; Streptophyta; Magnoliopsida; Poales; Bromeliaceae.